CACGUAGGGUGCGAGCGUUGUCCGGAAUUAUUGGGCGUAAAGAGCUCGUAGGCGGUGUGUCGCGUCGGCCGUGAAAACCUGCAGCUUAACUGUGGGCUUGCGGUCGAUACGGGCAUCACUGGAGUUCGGCAGGGGAGACUGGAAUUCCUGGUGUAGCGGUGAAAUGCGCAGAUAUCAGGAGGAACACCGGUGGCGAAGGCGGGUCUCUGGGCCGAUACUGACGCUGAGGAGCGAAAGCGUGGGGAGCGAACAG
This 253-nucleotide ribosomal RNA is filed under the name uncultured bacterium. RNAcentral describes it as "partial 16S ribosomal RNA". It matches the Rfam family "Bacterial small subunit ribosomal RNA", at positions 524 to 775 of the family's 1533-position model. The record is from RNAcentral.